UGGAAAGUGGCUCAGUGGUAGAGUGCUUGCCUUGCAUGCAUGAGGCCCUGGGUUUGAUUUCUCAGUACCAC
RNAcentral lists this transfer RNA (71 nucleotides) under Dipodomys ordii (Ord's kangaroo rat). The stretch from base 8 to 65 matches the Rfam family "tRNA", at positions 8 to 63 of the family's 71-position model. From Rfam's summary of the family: Transfer RNA (tRNA) molecules are approximately 80 nucleotides in length. The record is from Rfam by way of RNAcentral. Lineage: Eukaryota; Metazoa; Chordata; Mammalia; Rodentia; Heteromyidae.